GAGUAAUGUCUGGGAAACUGCCUGAUGGAGGGGGAUAACUACUGGAAACGGUGGCUAAUACCGCAUAACGUCGCAAGACCAAAGAGGGGGACCUUCGGGCCUCUUGCCAUCAGAUGUGCCCAGAUGGGAUUAGCUUGUUGGUGAGGUAACGGCUCACCAAGGCGACGAUCCCUAGCUGGUCUGAGAGGAUGACCAGCCACACUGGAACUGAGACACGGUCCAGACUCCUACGGGAGGCAGCAGUGGGGAAUAUUGCACAAUGGGCGCAAGCCUGAUGCAGCCAUGCCGCGUGUAUGAAGAAGGCCUUCGGGUUGUAAAGUACUUUCAGCGGGGAGGAAGGUGUUGUGGUUAAUAACCGCAGCAAUUGACGUUACCCGCAGAAGAAGCACCGGCUAACUCCGUGCCAGCAGCCGCGGUAAUACGGAGGGUGCAAGCGUUAAUCGGAAUUACUGGGCGUAAAGCGCACGCAGGCGGUCUGUCAAGUCGGAUGUGAAAUCCCCGGGCUCAACCUGGGAACUGCAUUCGAAACUGGCAGGCUUGAGUCUUGUAGAGGGGGGUAGAAUUCCAGGUGUAGCGGUGAAAUGCGUAGAGAUCUGGAGGAAUACCGGUGGCGAAGGCGGCCCCCUGGACAAAGACUGACGCUCAGGUGCGAAAGCGUGGGGAGCAAACAGGAUUAGAUACCCUGGUAGUCCACGCCGUAAACGAUGUCUACUUGGAGGUUGUGCCCUUGAGGCGUGGCUUCCGGAGCUAACGCGUUAAGUAGACCGCCUGGGGAGUACGGCCGCAAGGUUAAAACUCAAAUGAAUUGACGGGGGCCCGCACAAGCGGUGGAGCAUGUGGUUUAAUUCGAUGCAACGCGAAGAACCUUACCUGGUCUUGACAUCCACGGAAGAAUUCAGAGAUGGAUUUGUGCCUUCGGGAACCGUGAGACAGGUGCUGCAUGGCUGUCGUCAGCUCGUGUUGUGAAAUGUUGGGUUAAGUCCCGCAACGAGCGCAACCCUUAUCCUUUGUUGCCAGCGGUCCGG
Molecule: ribosomal RNA, 1025 nt
Filed under: Salmonella enterica
Lineage: Bacteria; Pseudomonadati; Pseudomonadota; Gammaproteobacteria; Enterobacterales; Enterobacteriaceae
Also listed under: 2 other names
Description: bacterial SSU rRNA
Rfam family: Bacterial small subunit ribosomal RNA
Source: RNAcentral